AAUGUUUCAGUCGGAAGAGUAACCUCAAAUUACACCUUGUUACACACACUGAUGCAAGAAGUCAUGAGUGUGAAGUUUGUGGGAAAAGGUUCAAACUGAAGAGCAUAUUGGACAGGCACGUCUUCAGACACUCUGGUCAUAAAGGGUUCAAGUGCGAUGUUUGUGGGAAACGUUUCAUGACUAAGGGUGAGAUUGUCAGGCACAUGAAGGUCCACUUCUCCUGAGGUGCUGUGCUGAUUCAGUUCUGCUGUGUGUGUGAGUGCAAGUGGUUGUUGUGGUGGUGUUACAGGGCUGUGUGUAGCACAGAGAACAGAAAAUAUUCAUCUGUUGGAACAAAUGGUGACUGUGACGGCAUGAUCUGUUAUUCACUUUCCACCCCAGGCUUCAUGUGGUUGGUGGGUCCUGUGAAAGGUCUGAUCUUUUUGGUGACUGUGCUGGGCUGGCUGUUGUGGCCUGGGCUUAUUGGUCAAGUGUGUGUGUGUUAAUAGUAAUAAUAUAGUGUAUUUGGUCUUGCCAGCCGCUAAGCUAAAAAUGUACACAUUAUAAACACAUUGUAAAGAACAGCAGGUAGGGGUUCAGGGAUCUAACACAUCAGUGGGAGGUUGGAAUGAUAGUGGUGGGAGGGUUGAGUGCAGUGUGGUGGUGCCGGGGAGUGGGAGGACAUCCUCUUCCAGAUGGUGGCAAGGUGUUAGUCCCAAGGUGUGACAUUCAUGUAGGUGUGAAAGAGGGGUGACGAUAUGAUUGAGCACAUGCUACUUGAGUGAUGUAUGUAUAUAAGAGAGAAAAGGGGAUUAUGGUAACAGUUGUGACUGAAUGGAAUAGGAUGUUGGAGAGGGAUGUAAAAAGGUUAAAUGCAUGCAAUAUUAUUUCAGCUGAGGUCAUUUUCAAAGCAGACAAUUGUUGUCAUUCAGUAGAUCAUGUCAUUCUUAAUCAUCAGAAAUCAUUUUCAAGACUCAAUUCUGACCUGUCACAUUGCGUAGAUCUUGUCAUUCUUAGUCAGUUGAGGUCAUCUUGAAGCCAACAAUUCUUGUUUCAUAGUUCAAUUCUUGUCAUUUUCCCUCUUUUUGUUCCUCAGAUAUAUUUUUCAAAUUAAUAUCAUAUUUAUUUCCAUUUAUUUCAUUUUGGGAGCAGGCAUAAAGGCCAGGUUAUGUUAGGUUACCUUAUAUUUAGUUUAAUUAGGUCAGAUGAGGUUAGGUUACAUUUAAUUUGAUUAGGGUAGUUAGUUUUAAUUGUGUUCAAUGAAUGUGUAAUAUGCUUCAGUUAUAUAAUGUGUACUCGCCAUUGCCAAUGGAGCUUGGGAAUAAUAACACAUGACUUAGUCAUUCACUUUUUUUUUAUUGGAUUAACCUGCAGUUUGAGUAUUACAGCUUGAUGUAGCACGUAACAGCUGAUACAGCACAACAAAUAAGUAAUUACUGAGAAAUCAUCUAUACAGGAAGGUAGUUGGUGUGGAAGAGAAAUGGCUACUAACUCUGCCCUGUGCACAGGGGGUGAUAAGUGGUGCCACAAAGAGAUGCUCAGGGCUGAGAAAUGUAAAUCAAGUAGUGGUGCAUUACAGGUGCCCAGUUUGUGAAAGACGGGACAGGAAACGGAGGAAAUAGGUAACUGGAACUGUGUGGCAAAGCAGAAGGGAGGAAAGGACCUGCAGAAGCCACUGCCUCAACAGACUAUUGGAAAUGGUUUGACUAUAGUAAGUCUG
Eriocheir sinensis (Chinese mitten crab) is the source of this 1699-nucleotide long non-coding RNA. RefSeq lists it as uncharacterized. The record is from RefSeq and is a predicted model, not a curated record. NCBI's taxonomy places the organism in Eukaryota, Metazoa, Arthropoda, Malacostraca, Decapoda, Varunidae. The transcript is spliced from 2 exons.